RNAcentral lists this ribosomal RNA (254 nucleotides) under uncultured bacterium. RNAcentral's name for it is "partial 16S ribosomal RNA". It matches the Rfam family "Bacterial small subunit ribosomal RNA", at positions 524 to 776 of the family's 1533-position model. The record is from RNAcentral.
CACGUAGGCACCAAGCGUUGUCCGGAUUUACUGGGCGUAAAGAGCGCGCAGGCGGUCGUUCAAGUCGCGUGUGAAAGCCCCCGGCUCAACUGGGGAGGGUCACGCGAUACUGAUCGACUCGAAGGCAGGAGAGGGUAGUGGAAUUCCCGGUGUAGUGGUGAAAUGCGUAGAUAUCGGGAGGAACACCAGUGGCGAAGGCGACUACCUGGCCUGUUUCUUGACGCUGAGGCGCGAAAGCUAGGGGAGCAAACGGG